GAGCAUCCGCUUGCUGUCAGGCCUCGGCAUUAAAACUAUCUCCAAUGGUUGUUCCUGUUUGCUUUCUCUUUCUUGAUGGACCAGAUUCCACAUAGGGAGGCAAUGGAAGUGUAUGCCUACCUAUACCAUGUUCAAUGAGUUCAUUGGCUGCCCUAUCCUGCUUGCAAAGUUGUUCAAAUGCAGGCUGUGAAAUUUUGUCACAAGUUGCUAUAUCCUUUUUUUUAUCUGAAGCAGAUGAGCCUUCACUCUUGAAUAGGUGCCUGGAUAAGUUUUGAGGUAGAAAUUGCACUUGAAUUUGAUGUUUCCUCCACGGCUACCGGACGAAGAAGCACCGGUUUCAUUGACAACUCUCUGAACAUAAGCCCGGAGAGGAUAUUUGGGAUCCACCCCACCAGGUCCAUGUUGCCCUCCGUCACUCUCACCCACUGAUGAUUGGCUCCCAGAUGUAGCUCCAUGGCUCCCAGAUGCAAUGUUCC
This 476-nucleotide long non-coding RNA is filed under the name Hordeum vulgare. RNAcentral's name for it is "long non-coding RNA (HVUL_LNC004776)". Lineage: Eukaryota; Viridiplantae; Streptophyta; Magnoliopsida; Poales; Poaceae. The record is from RNAcentral.